RNAcentral lists this ribosomal RNA (50 nucleotides) under Ganoderma lucidum. Its description in RNAcentral is "partial 28S ribosomal RNA". Lineage: Eukaryota; Fungi; Basidiomycota; Agaricomycetes; Polyporales; Polyporaceae. The record is from RNAcentral.
AUGACCUCUGACCUCAAAUCAGGUAGGACUACCCGCUGAACUUAACAUCA